Molecule: ribosomal RNA, 484 nt
Filed under: uncultured bacterium
Lineage: Bacteria
Description: partial 16S ribosomal RNA
Rfam family: Bacterial small subunit ribosomal RNA
Source: RNAcentral
AUUGAACGCUGGCGGCAGGCCUAACACAUGCAAGUCGAUCGGAUGAAGGGAGCUUGCUCCUGGAUUCAGCGGCGGACGGGUGAGUAAUGCCUAGGAAUCUGCCUGGUAGUGGGGUAUAACGUCCGGAAACGGGCGCUAAUACCGCAUACGUCCUGAGGGAGAAAGUGGGGGUUCUUCGGACCUCCCUCUAUCAGAUGAGCCUAGGUCGGAUUAGCUAGUUGGUGGGGUAAAGGCCUACCAAGGCGACGAUCCGUAACUGGUCUGAGAGGAUGAUCAGUCACACUGGAACUGAGACACGGUCCAGACUCCUACGGGAGGCAGCAGUGGGGAAUAUUGGACAAUGGGCGAAAGCCUGAUCCAGCCAUGCCGCGUGUGUGAAGAAGGUCUUCGGAUUGUAAAGCACUUUAAGUUGGGAGGAAGGGCAGUAAGUUAAUACCUUGCUGUUUUGACGUUACCAACAGAAUAAGCACCGGCUAACUUCGUG